CCAGUGGAAUCUUCCUCACUCACACAGCCCUCAAGCUCUUGCUCUCAUCCUAUGAAACAAGCCUGCAGCCUCUCAUGUGGAAAGAACAACUCAGGAAACAGUUGGACCCCAUCCUGCUCACUCCCUCUCCUUCCUCAUCUCCCUGCAUCCUUCCCAGGAAUGCAGAGCAUUAGCAGCCACAUUAACUGAGCAGGGAGCACCAUUUUGACAUGCAGAUGCCAGGGUUCAGAUGAGUCAAGUGUGUACCAGGAGAGCAGAUGUAGUGAGUGAUAUCAGGUGGAGCACGUGAUGAUGUGGACAGUGCCAUGUAAAGAUAUAAUGGGAUGCACCAAGAUGAGAUCCUCACCUACAGCUGAGAUAUCUACAGAAUUACGACAACAGAAAUAACUGAGGUGGCAACACUGAAUACACAGCAUUAAAUGGAGAUGGUGGAAUAUGGCCCAGCGCUGAGGAGCACAAUCCACCCAGUGGCCACAGCAGGUGGCCUCUUAACAGCUGGCCUUGAGCAUGUCACCCUAGUUCCUGCCUCACUUUAGUUGUGCAUCUCUGAAGGUCCUGAUGCUGUCUGAGAGCCAUGCAGAGUAAUACGAGGGCUGAAGUCUUCCAUUGCAACCAGAAAAUUUCACCAUCCUUUUAAGGCUGGAUGGAGUCAUUCUCUGGCCAGAGGUUUUUGUCCCUGUGGAGGAGGCAUGGAGAUCAUUUCCGACCCAGGAUGAGAUCCUCAG
Long non-coding RNA from Cavia porcellus (domestic guinea pig), 725 nucleotides. RefSeq lists it as uncharacterized. The record is from RefSeq and is a predicted model, not a curated record. NCBI's taxonomy places the organism in Eukaryota, Metazoa, Chordata, Mammalia, Rodentia, Caviidae. The transcript is spliced from 3 exons.